This is a long non-coding RNA of Orcinus orca (killer whale), 559 nucleotides long. RefSeq lists it as uncharacterized. Lineage: Eukaryota; Metazoa; Chordata; Mammalia; Artiodactyla; Delphinidae. The transcript has 3 exons. The record is from RefSeq and is a predicted model, not a curated record.
ACUGGCAGACUUCAGGUCACCCAGAGUGGCAUGUCCAAAUGUGAUAUAUGCCAUCUCUGAAAUUCAGAGGUCUACCAGGGUUGCACCUUUUCCCUCAUGGUGAACAAUGCAAAGUGCAAAAACUUAUCUUUUAUUUUAGAAGGGAUGUUCUCACAUGCCCCAGACCGCUGGACCCUAAAAACUUCACAACAUGAUUUUUUAUUACUGGAGACAACUCUUCUAUGUACAAAAUGUAUUAACGGCUGGAGCAGAAGAAAUAUACCAACUACAGAUGGCAUUAUUAUCCUCCUAUCCUUGAGCUACAGCUGAAAAAGGAGCCCAAGCAGGCCGGUAACCUGAUCUCGUUCACCAGGUGAGUCCUGGAUGGUGGUGGCAACUACGAUACCAGGAGCAAAACACCCCGGGGGAUUUGCUGGAACCCUCGGUAAGGGAAUAGUGUCUCUUCCCUCACCCCAGCGACGCUCAAUCCGGAGCGCAGCGGAUUCGGUUAUCACUUUGCUCGCCCCAGCCUCUCAGAGCCCUGCACACAGUGGGCGUCUAAUAAAAGCGGUCUGCAUUG